UGGGGAAUUUUGGACAAUGGGGGAAACCCUGAUCCAGCCAUGCCGCGUGAGUGAAGAAGGCCUUCGGGUUGUAAAGCUCUUUCGUGAGGAAAGAAACGGUCCGCGCUAAUACCGCGGACUACUGACGGUACCUCAAGAAGAAGCACCGGCUAACUACGUGCCAGCAGCCGCGGUAAUACGUAGGGUGCGAGCGUUAAUCGGAAUUACUGGGCGUAAAGCGUGCGCAGGCGGCUUCGCAAGUCAGGUGUGAAAUCCCCGGGCUUAACCUGGGAAUUGCGCUUGAAACUACGGAGCUAGAGUGUGUCAGAGGGAGGUAGAAUUCCACGUGUAGCAGUGAAAUGCGUAGAGAUGUGGAGGAACACCGAUGGCGAAGGCAGCCUCCUGGGAUAACACUGACGCUCAUGUACGAAAGCGUGGGGAGCAAACAG
This 428-nucleotide ribosomal RNA is filed under the name uncultured bacterium. RNAcentral's name for it is "bacterial SSU rRNA". It matches the Rfam family "Bacterial small subunit ribosomal RNA", at positions 355 to 775 of the family's 1533-position model. The record is from RNAcentral.